This 61-nucleotide transfer RNA is filed under the name Cloeon dipterum. RNAcentral describes it as "tRNA-Leu". The record is from RNAcentral. Lineage: Eukaryota; Metazoa; Arthropoda; Insecta; Ephemeroptera; Baetidae.
ACUGUUUUGGCAGAAAAUGCCGUAAAUUUAGAAUUUACUCAUGAAUUAUAUUCAAACAGUA